CUGCUGCCUCCCGUAGGAGUCUGGUCCGUGUCUCAGUUCCAAUGUGGGGGACCUUCCUCUCAGAACCCCUACGCAUCGUCGGCUUGGUGGGCCGUUGCCCCACCAACUACCUAAUGCGCCGCAUGCCCAUCCGUGACCGGGGUCGCCCCCUUUGGCCGGCAGGGGAUGUCCCCUCCCGGCAUUAUGUUGUAUUAGGCGGGAUUUCUCCCGGUUAUCCAUCUGUCACGGCCAGGUUACAUACGUGUUACUCACCCGUGCGCCGGUCGCCGGCGG
RNAcentral lists this ribosomal RNA (273 nucleotides) under uncultured bacterium. RNAcentral's name for it is "partial 16S ribosomal RNA". The record is from RNAcentral.